AUGUCGUGACUCGCGCCUUUUUCUUCUGGGGCAUGUCCAGAGCACACUUAUACUUUUUACUUAAUUAAAUAACAAAAAUUAACUUUUAUUAAUAUAUAGAAUAUGUAGAAUCGUUACAUCCCCUGAAUAAUGUAAAUCAACUACAAUACAAUACGAGACUCCAAAAUUUUUCUUUUCUUACAAUACAAGAGUACUAACUGGUAACCUAAUCUAUAACUUCUCAACAUCUUUUUUCGUAUCACAUACUAUUUUGCAGUGGAAUCCUAAUUAUUUGAAAAUGAUGGAGGAGUAACAUACACUACUCUAAUAAGCAAAUAUCCUGACAGAGUCUCCCCCUAUAUUUUCCUCAAUUUUUUGUAGUCACUCUGUCAGAAUCUUCCCUUAAAAAUACUUCAAUUUUCUCUUUUCACUUGAGCAGAGUCUCCAUUAUAUUUUCAUCAAUUUCCUUGUAGGACAUGUUGCUUUAACUCUAGUAAAGUCUUGGCUUAAUUUUUAAGUUUUUUCUCUAAAGAAUCUGGCAAAGUUAUGGGAUGUUCUUGUGCAAUAUCUUAAGCCCGCGGGUUCUCCCUUGGUUGGCUAUGAGCUUUUGCUCUCUUUUUCUUUUCUUUCUUUAUUUUUCUCCUUUUCUUCUUCCAUUCUCUCUCUUCCUCUCACAAGUUGGGUACAGUUUUCUCAAGGAAUAACUCCCAAAUUCCAUCAAUUUCCCUCACUUUUAUUGGAUUUCUUCUCUUUUUCUCUCUUUUUCCUCUUCUCUUUCUCUCUCUUAUAUCUCUCUCUAAACUUACUUUCUCUCAACUCCAAAAUGAUUUCCCCAUCUCCCCACACCCCUAUUUAUAAGGGAGGGAUGUCCAUGCAAGUUGUUAAGCAUGGAAGAGGUGGAAAAACUUGAUUGGUCAUUUAAACCUCCUCAAGCUUCAUCAUUAUCCUUAUCUCUUUCUUUCCUUAGCCUUUAAGUAAUUUUAGAGUAUUAUAAUCCUAUCUAGACUAUCCCAUGUCUUAUCCACCUUCUAGGAGCUUCCAUACCGAAUUUGGGCUCCAUUGGAUAUGUUUUGUGUUGCCUUAGGCUCAUCUAAACCCAUACAGCCCAAAACUGCACUCCAUGCACAUGCCUUCACUUCAAAUAGCCAUAACACCCUCAAUUCUUACACGUUUCAGACCCAUUUUACCUUCACUUGUUAUUUGUUGUUUUCACUACUUAAAAACCAAAGUUGGGCUUGAAAUGACUACAUUUGGCUAAUCUACGGUCCACAUAAGUCCCAGAAGGUCCAAACUGUGCAAAAAGCUAGGCCCAUUCCUAUACCCUUACUUCAAAACUCAAUAACUUGCUCAAUUCUUAAUCGUUUUGGGUAACCUUGUGCUUCACAUUUUCCUCACAUAGGCAACUAUAACAUGGUUUUAGUUUGGGCUUUGUUUGAGUCCAUUUGGCCCACUUAUGGCCUAAACAAUCUCGAAUGGUAAAAAAUGUCCUUUAUGUGCAUGCCUUAUGGUUUGACCUCAUAUCUCCCAAUUUUGCUUCUAUGGACACUUUUAAUUUUCUACACACUUAUGUCUUAAUAUCGUGGCUAGUCCUCAACCAAAUUGAAGUGUCAAAUUCUGUGAGUUUUGGUCUUGGGACACAAAGCAAGCCUAAAGGGUCAAUUAGGACUUCUUAAGGGAUUUCUUCCUUCACAUGGGAGAUUUAUCUUUUGAUUGUUAAUCCAAUUACUCUCUCAUAUUCUUGAAGCAUCUUCUUACCUUCUAGAAUAUUGUUUUAAUCACAAGAAGCAUUCCUAGGCCUAGAGAACUAAGUUUCCUCAUUAAGAGAAAGUUCUCUUUUUAAGGGGUUCUUUUUACCCUAAUUUUAUCAUCUUCUCUCCAUUUGACUUGAAAUUUAGUCCUUAAUGUUAUUACAUUUCUCUACAUACAUGUACAUGCAUAAAUAGCCAUUCAAAACAUGAGAAAUUUUUCUAGAGAAAAUCUAGGUCAUUACAUCCUCCCUCCCCUUAAAAAUGAAUUUGAUCCUCCAAAUUCAACUACCCAAGGGUCACAAUAAGCUUGAAUCGUUGAUCUUCUUCUCAAUAGAUUGUUGAUCUCUAUUGUCUCCCUUUUCUUAAUGCACUGACUUAUUCAAUGACAACUUAUGGCAUUAUUUAAAAAAAAUGUGUCUUAACUAGUUCUUCACUAUUUAUUUCUGACUUACAGGUUACUGACAAUUUUACUAAGGCUUGAAACACUUGUCUCCUUAACUACUUGUAAAAUGGAUAUCUUCACUGUAUAUAGCUUAUAGUGAUUCUAUUGCAACACCUCAUGGAUAAUAGUCAUUCAUCCUCUUAGUAAUAAAAUCAUAACUCCUUAACUUUUGUUGGAAACCCAGUCUCAUGCUUAUAUUCUCUUGUGGUUCAUAAAUACUCUCAAGAUGGUUAAUUCUUUUCUAACUCCCAAAAUAAGAGAACAAUCAUUAGGAACUCGCUUUAAAAUCUCAUCACACCUCACAUAACUUCUCAUAAGGGUGAUACUACUAUCCUUAAAUUUAACGAGGUCUGGGUGGUGUGUAAAAAUACCUCGAUAAUUGAUCAAAUGCUCAUAGGGUCUUAAACCUUUAUAUAAUCAAGUAUGGAAUUGCCACAAUGUAUAUGGCUCUUAACUACUUCUACAUGACCAUAAAAUAAUUACUAUGUUUGUAUUUCCUAAGAUAUUAAGCUCCCACAAUCACGUCUAUACAUUUUCUAACUCUAGAAAUUAAUCUUAUGGAAAACAGUUUAGUACUUUCCUAAAUCAAGACCUUUUCUCCUUCUUCAAUGACUUGAUAUCCAAGCCACGUACUCUUUCUGAUUAAUUUGUAUGGAUCCUCAACUUAUCAAGGCUUAUUCUCUCCAUCCAAGUCUAUUAGGAUUUGAUCAUGACUCUUUGAUUUCUUACGGAAUCUCAUUCUUAGGCUUAUAGUUUUCUCUCAUAUAUUUCCAAAACGAGACAUCCCUUUUCUAACUUCCAAAAAUAUAAAGGAAUUUGUCUACACAUAGUAUCACAGUAAACUAUUAACCUCAAGUUUAUCGAGUAGGAUGACUCUAAAAAUCUUAAUAAUUUAUCGGGUUCUUCUAAGAUCUUUAAGUAUUGAACUCCUUAUUAUCGGGUCAUAUUAGGAUCCUUUGGCAGUGGGGUCCACCAAAGGUCUUGUUAAAAUCAAUUACACUGGAUAAUUGAUUCCAUCUCUCUAAGGUUAAGUAUUAUGCGCUCCUAAAGGUUUCAAAUGAUCACUCAUAGAGGGCACGAACACUAAAUCUUUAAUUUCUUAGGUGGUCUCCCCUAUUUUACCUUGUUCACUUGUUUGUAUCCACUCAAGAUAUCUAAGAAACGUAAAAGUUCGAGUUCGGUAGGAUCUUGAGUUAUGUCUGACAAUUUACUUCACUUAGAAAUGGAAAAUUGGUCCUAAUAGUUAUCGCACUAUUAGUUGUUGUUCUCUAAUAAUAUUUGCCUAUUCUCAUCCCGAAGGUUCAAAGGUAUCAUUUCAUUUAUUCAAGAAACUACUUUUACGAAUAUGGUUUGCUUAUAAUCCUCACAUGGGUGAUAAUAUACUUGAAUGGGAGGAUAAUCCUUAGAUUGGUGUUGUAACUUUUAUAGUUUAAACUAGUCCUUAGUAAUGGAGUAACAACAUUCUUUCCUAAUAUCUAGUCUUUCUUUGAUCAAUAAAAAUAACCCAUAUCCUCCAAAAUAAAUGUUUUAUUCACAUAAUCUAAGGAUCCAUAACAUUCAUUCUUCUAAGUUAUAACAAUGUUUGAUCUCAAUAUUAUCAAUAGAAUGUUUACUCAUAAUAUUUUCUCUCUCAACAUAUCAAGUUUUCUUCAACCUCUAACCAUAAAGGCUUAUACUUGUCUCACUUUAUAAUUUCUUUGGUGAGGGCAACUCUUUUAAAUCUCAAGGUUCAAUCAUAUAAAACUCCUCUUCACUUCUCAAAACACUCAUCCCAAGAUUCGUUCUUCAUUAGAUCCAUCAAAAUUCCGUGGGUAUCUAAAAUAUCUCGCCUAAGUCUUUCACUAUACGCAUGAGUCCUUUGAGAUUCUAUUCAGUCCUAUCUUUUGGACCUUGUAUGUAGGCUUUCUCCUUGGUCUCACUAUUUCCAACUCUUGAAUACUUUAGGGUUAAGAGAGGGUUCCUACUAUAUUUUACUAUACUCAUUCUAAGUUCCACUACACUUUUUAGGGUCCGUGUAACCCUAAACCUUGUAUUCAAUGGGUGUCUUAGAACCGUGCUUUGAUACCACCAAUCGCAACCCAGCCCCUCUUCUUCUUGGGGCAUGUUCGGAGCACACUUACAUAUAACAAAAAUUAACUUUCAUUAAUAUACAGAGUACACAGAAGUAUUAUAUCCCUUAAAUAAUGUACAUCAGCUAUAAAACAAUACAAGGCUCCAAAAUUUUUCUUCUAUACAAUGCAAAGGCACAAACU
Molecule: long non-coding RNA, 4421 nt
Filed under: Carica papaya (papaya)
Lineage: Eukaryota; Viridiplantae; Streptophyta; Magnoliopsida; Brassicales; Caricaceae
Description: long non-coding RNA (CPAP_LNC013209)
Source: RNAcentral